GACGAACGCUGGCGGCAUGCCUAAUACAUGCAAGUCGAGCGGAGUUGACGAGAAGCUUGCUUCUCUGAUACUUAGCGGCGGACGGGUGAGUAACACGUAGGCAACCUGCCUUCCAGUUUGGGAUAACUUCCGGAAACGGAUGCUAAUACCGAAUACAUCAUCUUCUGGCAUCAGAGAAUGAGGAAAGACGGCGCAAGCUGUCACCUAGAGCUGGGCCUGCGGCGGAUUAGCUAGUUGGUGGGGUAAUGGGUCACCAAGGCGACGAUGCGUAGCCGACCUGAGAGGGUGAACGGCCACACUGGGACUGAGACACGGCCCAGACUCCUACGGGAGGCAGCAGUAGGGAAUCUUCCACAAUGGGCGAAAGCCUGAUGGAGCAAUGCCGCGUGAGUGAUGAAGGUUUUCGGAUCGUAAAGCUCUGUUGCCAGGGAAGAACGUCCGGGUGAGUAACUGCACCCGGAGUGACGGUACUUGAGAAGAAAGCCCCGGCUAACUACGUGCCAGCAGCCGCCGUAA
Molecule: ribosomal RNA, 516 nt
Filed under: uncultured bacterium
Lineage: Bacteria
Description: partial 16S ribosomal RNA
Rfam family: Bacterial small subunit ribosomal RNA
Source: RNAcentral